This 446-nucleotide ribosomal RNA is filed under the name uncultured bacterium. Its description in RNAcentral is "partial 16S ribosomal RNA". It matches the Rfam family "Bacterial small subunit ribosomal RNA", at positions 338 to 795 of the family's 1533-position model. The record is from RNAcentral.
CCUACGGGUGGCAGCAGUCGAGAAUUAUUCACAAUGGGGGAAACCCUGAUGGUGCGACGCCGCGUGGGGGAAUGAAGGUCUUCGGAUUGUAAACCCCUGUCAUGUGGGAGCAAAUUAAAAAGAUAGUACCCCAAGAGGAAGAGACGGCUAACUCUGUGCCAGCAGCCGCGGUAAUACAGAGGUCUCAAGCGUUGUUCGGAAUCACGGGGCGUAAAGCGUGCGUAGGCUGUUUCGUAAGUCGUGUGUGAAAGGCGCGGGCCCAACCCGCGGACGGCACAUGAUACUGCGAGACUAGAGUAAUGGAGGGGGAACCGGAAUUCUCGGUGUAGCAGUGAAAUGCGUAGAUAUCGAGAGGAACACUCGUGGCGAAGGCGGGUUCCUGGACAUUAACUGACGCUGAGGCACGAAGGCCAGGGGAGCGAAAGGGAUUAGAUACCCGAGUAGUC